This 5572-nucleotide long non-coding RNA is filed under the name Panax ginseng (ginseng). RNAcentral's name for it is "long non-coding RNA (PGIN_LNC005719)". Lineage: Eukaryota; Viridiplantae; Streptophyta; Magnoliopsida; Apiales; Araliaceae. The record is from RNAcentral.
GCCAUUGUAAUGCUGUAAUGAGGAGUUAGGUAGAGAAUAAUUUCAAAUCAUGCAUUCAACUUUUUAUGUGUUCAGUGGAGUGGAGUAAGUGGAGAAUCUAUGUUACAAAAAUUGAGUGGAAAACAAGUUGAAUUCUUGGUAGCCGAUGAGAGUGGUUUGCCUUCAGCUUUAUUCUUCAUGAUUAUAAUACUUAUCCCUAGAUAUCCACAUAAAGUUAUUGGCCCAAGUAUUUUAAAGCAGAAGUCCAUUUGUAAUUGAGAAAGCAAGCUUGCUUCCAUCCGUGAAUUGUAAGAAAAUCGCAUUUAUAACAGUAAUCGUAUAAAAUUGUACAAUUUAUGCAGUACGGUUAUGCAGUGUAAUUUUUAUUUUUUUAUUAACCGUACAUUGUGAUUGCAGUUACGGAUACACCCCUUAAAACGAACUGCACUUUUUAGUAAAUUCGCAUUUCACCUACUUUAAUUUUCAAAUUACUAGUAGUAUUUGUAUAUUCUAUUGUGCAUACAGAUGAGAUGACUAUCUAAGCAGAGAAUGCAGUCAGGACUUACUCAACUGCAUGGGCAAUUUCAAGAGAAGCGAAGGCAAAUCAUUCGAGGGAAAUACCUGCCAAGUGAAUGAUGUUAUUCAAGUCAUCACCGUCUCCAUGGAUGCUGCUUUGCUUGCUCGAAGACUCCAUAAACCUUAAUUCAUCAUUACUCCACUUAAUAAUGCAUUAUGCUUGGAUAUCAUGCUUUUAAUUUCAAAUAUACAGAUAGGCACACUAGUAAAGAAGGGAAAAAAAUGAUUCUUCCUUUAAUUUGUGGAAUUUCCCCCGAAUUAUUAAUGGGAAUUACAUAAUACUCACAGGAACUUCUUGUAGGGCCUCCCUACAUCCUCAUCUUGCAUAUGCUGUCAAAAAAUGCUAAAAUAUUAAGAUCCAAGUUACGGAAGAUUUAAUCAAGUUCAAACAAAGUUGAAAAGAAUAUAAACACAUGAAAUCAUCAAUCACCAUUUCUCUACUUGAAAAAAAGAAAAUAAAAUAAAUGUACUGUUAACAUUAAAUCCCCUUCCAAACCAUAAGAUGGGCAAACCCUCUCCCCUCGGUCUUCCUUCUAUAGACCUCAACACCCUACCCCAACCUCCAAGCAUUACAACGGCUCCAAUGAGCUCCCCNNNNNNNNNNNNNNNNNNNNNNNNNNNNNNNNNNNNNNNNNNNNNNNNNNNNNNNNNNNNNNNNNNNNNNNNNNNNNNNNNNNNNNNNNNNNNNNNNNNNAUUGAGUGGAAAACAAGUUGAAUUCUUGGUAGCCGAUGAGAGUGGUUUGCCUUCAGCUUUAUUCUUCAUGAUUAUAAUACUUAUCCCUAGAUAUCCACAUAAAGUUAUUGGCCCAAGUAUUUUAAAGCAGAAGUCCAUUUGUAAUUGAGAAAGCAAGCUUGCUUCCAUCCGUGAAUUGUAAGAAAAUCGCAUUUAUAACAGUAAUCGUAUAAAAUUGUACAAUUUAUGCAGUACGGUUAUGCAGUGUAAUUUUUAUUUUUUUAUUAACCGUACAUUGUGAUUGCAGUUACGGAUACACCCCUUAAAACGAACUGCACUUUUUAGUAAAUUCGCAUUUCACCUACUUUAAUUUUCAAAUUACUAGUAGUAUUUGUAUAUUCUAUUGUGCAUACAGAUGAGAUGACUAUCUAAGCAGAGAAUGCAGUCAGGACUUACUCAACUGCAUGGGCAAUUUCAAGAGAAGCGAAGGCAAAUCAUUCGAGGGAAAUACCUGCCAAGUGAAUGAUGUUAUUCAAGUCAUCACCGUCUCCAUGGAUGCUGCUUUGCUUGCUCGAAGACUCCAUAAACCUUAAUUCAUCAUUACUCCACUUAAUAAUGCAUUAUGCUUGGAUAUCAUGCUUUUAAUUUCAAAUAUACAGAUAGGCACACUAGUAAAGAAGGGAAAAAAAUGAUUCUUCCUUUAAUUUGUGGAAUUUCCCCCGAAUUAUUAAUGGGAAUUACAUAAUACUCACAGGAACUUCUUGUAGGGCCUCCCUACAUCCUCAUCUUGCAUAUGCUGUCAAAAAAUGCUAAAAUAUUAAGAUCCAAGUUACGGAAGAUUUAAUCAAGUUCAAACAAAGUUGAAAAGAAUAUNNNNNNNNNNNNNNNNNNNNNNNNNNNNNNNNNNNNNNNNNNNNNNNNNNNNNNNNNNNNNNNNNNNNNNNNNNNNNNNNNNNNNNNNNNNNNNNNNNNNAUGCUAUGUGGAGCAAAAAUGGGUGCAUUAUUAGCAGUAGGAUUUUAAGUAGAAAUUACAUGACAAAAAUAUGAUUGAAACCUUGACUUUUGCUACAAAUACAUGCAGGAAAUAGCAUCACUAAUUUUGAGACAAAUUUUAUUACAGCAAAGAGAUCAGAGCAGGUAUGCCAUGAACAAAUUUGCAUUACACUUCAGCAAAAAAAAUUAUGCUACAUAACAAUCAAACCAAACCUGCAAUGAAGAAUUCAUACAAUCAUCGUUUAAUAAGAAAUUCAAGAUUUAACGUCACGAGUAUUCCUAUUUUUAAAUUGGCCAAAUCAUGAUAAAAGAAUUAGUUAUUACAACACCAAAAUCAUAUGGGUUCCUACUUCCUAUUAAGUUUUCAACAUGACACUUCCCUCAGACACUGUGUUACCACAUUGCCAUAUGCUUACAGUGAUGUUUCUCACAUUAGAAGCUCUAAAACCACAUGCGUCAAUGGACCGAAUGAACUUCAGUCAAAGCCAAAAGUUUUCAAAGAUCUUCUUUACAAUAGAAUUUUGCAAUGCAAUUAAGGUCAAGUGCCAUGAGUAUUGGGUACUUAAGUAAAUCCAAAGGAGAAAGAAAAGAAAAAUGUUCCGAUGAUUUAGUCUAAAAAGCAUCUUUAUGCGCUAAAACAAAGCCAUAACUGGAGCUUGGAGCAACUAGGUGGCCAUGUGCCCAAGUGUAACCACAAGACAAAUACUUUUGCGAGUUCGGCUAUAACUGGACAAAUAUAAGCCCAUUAUUACUCUGAAGAGUCACAAACCAAAUUGAAAAACAACCCAUUAAAACUAGACACGUAAGCCUAUUCCAGAUAUAAGCCCAAAAGAUCACUUCACAGAGGGGGCACAACAUUGCAAGGCACCGGAGGUUUCAAGUCAAUACCUAGAGGCGAUUGUACUUGAACAAAAGUAGAAGGAAGUUAGUUAAAUCAUAAAGUCCUCGGGUAGUUUCUUAUUUAUCAAAAGCUACGGAGUGUUUUGCAGUCCAUAAAACUACAGACUAAUUCUCAAUUUCGAUUAAAACCAGAUACACCUGUUCAAGUAGAUGUAAUGCCAUCGACCAUCUCAGAGUAAAACAAGAAUAAAAAGGCAAAGCAUACUUUAUAGAUAAAUAAUAACCUAAAAAUAUCUAGCUAAACAACCCAAUGCCUUUAAUUUCAAAUUGCCUAUAUCAAUUUGCUAAAGAACUCCAUUUUUCCUGAUAAGUAAAACAUAGCAUGUUUGACCAAUCAGGCAGAGCAUCACGAACAACAAUUCAUAAUUACGGUGUCUACAGAAGCAUAAAAUUAUGGAUUCCAAAAAUCUAGUUUAACUACAAAUGUCGAAGCAUUACGUUAAGCAAAUAUAAUAAUACAUUAUAAGCCUUUUGGGGACAUAAUAUGAACAUCUAUGUAAAAUACUACAAUUGCCCGAUAAAUGAAAACUGUUAUUAUAUCUAAUGCAACCAACUUAUUCUUUAAUUUCUUAAACUAAAGUUAUGUUAAGAUAUGCAGACCUCAUCAAUCAUCACGAGUGUAUGUGUGUGUAUAUACACACACCCACAAGCAAUCGAAAACUAAUCAAGAACAUCAAGCUAAUACACCCCCUUGCGAGAGCAAUCAACUGAAUCAAGCAGACAAUGCCUAAGUGGACACAACGAUAAGGAUACUCAAAUCUCUAAAAUCAGUGAAAAAUACCAGCAAGAAGACUUAUGCCACCAAGUCAUCACAUAACCUUAGAUUGGUGUAUUACAAUGUACUUAACAGUUUAGGCAUACAUACUUGAUACUAGCACAACUGAGUUUAGAUAACAAUACAUUAUAAAUGGAAAACAUAAGAAUGUUGUAUUGAAUGUUUAAGGUUGUAGGUACGUCUAAAACUGGAUUUAAAAUAAACAAAGUUGACAACAAAAUAACAACAUAUACUCUAAAUGUCCUUCCAACACUCGAACACAUAGACACACAUUGCUGAGUUUAAAGCAAUCCAAAAUGCUAUGACUUCUAUGUUUAGUGUACUAUAAAAUAUAACUGUUCGUAUAAAAUAUUCUAACUUUUUAGCAAAGGGCAGCAAUCCAUUAGUAAUAUUUUAAAGUACUAAUUGCACUAAAAUAAAUCAUGGCUAGUAAAGUAAAAUUAGAACAGUUGAUAUUAGUUCAACAUACCACAUAGAAUGUCAGUGAGCACCAACAAGUAAGAAGGCCUCCGAGAGAUGAUCCAUCCCGCUCAGCUUCCGAAGCCUUAACUCCAUCUACACUAAUGACUAAACCCUUAAACCCUUAUUUAUAGUACUUUAAUACCUUUAAAUUUUAUCACAGUGGGCUCCAUUGUUGAUAAUUGUGCCCGAAGAAGAGAACGCUCUCAUAUAGAACCCCUCCUAUUUCCAAAGGAAGAAGAAGAAAGAGCGAAAAAGAACGAAACCUUAAGAAGCAGUGCUGAAACCGUAGGGGAACCAAAUAACCGGAUGUAACCCGAAUACCCGGACCAAUAUCCGACUCCGACCCGAACAGUAGGAGAACCAAAUAACCGGCUGAAACCUGAAUACCCGACCCAAAAACCCGAUCCGAAUUGUACGAACUGUAAAUUUCCCAUAGUGUAACUGCACGAACUGUAAACCACUGGUGAACAGUAGAGAAGCCCUAACCGUACGGUAACAAAAGCGACGCGUGCGGGCGCGUCGUUUGUCCAAAUCGACUACCCUACCUCCGUCCAUCUUUGUGUUAGGUUUACACAGCCAACUAGCUUGCACGUAUUGAAAAAUGUUUUAUAUUAAGUCGGUAAUGGACUUGAAGAGUUUUUAAUAGGUUACAAAGGGUGUAACUGGACAAAAUUAACUUGACUCCAAAAUGCAUUGAGAAAUUAUUUCAAGUGAAAUGAAUCAAAUGAGUGAGAUAUACUCAAAAAUACCGGAAUCUAGAGGACUGAAAGUUGAAAUUCAGCUACUUCAAAUCGUCCGCCAAGAGGAAACAUCGAUCAGCUCAAGUCUCUCCUUCAUCACUCCCUCCCUUCGAAAUGUCGCAACACAACCAGAUCUACCGGUUUUAUAUGUGAGAGAGAAGAAGCCACUACAUCUUUGAGGUGAUCUCCACUCCGCCGCUACCAAAAAUCUCACCCACCGCAGCCUAGAUAUACAACCAAAUAGAUCAGAAAUUGAGAAACAGAGUAUGUAUAACUCUAGAGAGCAGGCAGAGAUCUUUUUGAGAUUUGAAGGAAAAGAGUAUUUUCAGAGUUUGAAAGAACACAGAUAAAGUGAGAGAAAAGAAAUGAUAGAUUUUAGCUUACAUUGCAUUACUUUUAAAACGACGGGUCAUCUGAGUAUGGGCCAAAUAUAAAGUUAUUAUGAUACAGUUAAACUCAUAUUUUAAAUAUCAA